UACGUAGGGUGCAAGCGUUGUCCGGAUUUAUUGGGCGUAAAGAGCGUGUAGGCGGCUAGGUAGGUCCGUUGUGAAAACUCGAGGCUCAACCUCGAGACGUCGAUGGAAACCAUCUAGCUAGAGUCCGGAAGAGGAGAGUGGAAUUCCUGGUGUAGCGGUGAAAUGCGCAGAUAUCAGGAGGAACACCAAUGGCGAAGGCAGCUCGCUGGGACGGUACUGACGCUGAGGCGCGAAAGCGUGGGUAGCAAACAGG
Molecule: ribosomal RNA, 253 nt
Filed under: uncultured bacterium
Lineage: Bacteria
Description: partial 16S ribosomal RNA
Rfam family: Bacterial small subunit ribosomal RNA
Source: RNAcentral